RNAcentral lists this unclassified non-coding RNA (379 nucleotides) under soil metagenome. RNAcentral's name for it is "partial internal transcribed spacer 1". The stretch from base 1 to 119 matches the Rfam family "5.8S ribosomal RNA", at positions 35 to 154 of the family's 154-position model. The record is from RNAcentral.
GAUGAAGAACGCAGCGAAAUGCGAUACGUAAUGCGAAUUGCAGAUUCAGCGAGUCAUCGAGUCUUUGAACGCACAUUGCGCCCCCAGGCACUCCUGGGGGCUUGUCCGACCGAGCGCCGCCGCGCAGCUCGGGGAGCUCUCGUCCCCGGCGUUGGGGCCCCGGCGAGCCCGGCCUCGCAGCCCCCAAAUCCAGCGGCGGCCGCCCGCUGGCGACCCACGCGCAGCAGCAGACCCAAGCCUGCCCGGGACGCCGCGGAUGGCCCGCCAAACGCAAGCCCCCCCCCCCCUCUCGAGCUAGGGGAGGGCAACCCAGCAAACCCGCUGGCCUCGGGUCGGACAAGGUUACCCGCUGAACUUAAGCAUAUCAAUAAGCGGAGGA